This 253-nucleotide ribosomal RNA is filed under the name uncultured bacterium. RNAcentral's name for it is "partial 16S ribosomal RNA". It matches the Rfam family "Bacterial small subunit ribosomal RNA", at positions 524 to 776 of the family's 1533-position model. The record is from RNAcentral.
UACGUAGGGGGCAAGCGUUGUCCGGAAUCAUUGGGCGUAAAGCGCGUGUAGGCGGCUGAGUAAGUCUGCUCUGAAAGCCCGGGGCUCAACCCCGGGAGGCGGGUGGAUACUGCUCAGCUCGAGUCCGGAAGAGGAGUGUGGAAUUCCUGGUGUAGCGGUGAAAUGCGCAGAUAUCAGGAGGAACACCAAUGGCGAAGGCAGCACUCUGGGACGGUACUGGAGCUGAGACGCGAAAGUGUGGGGAGCGAACAGG